UAGUCAUAUGCUUGUCUCAAAGAUUAAGCCAUGCAUGUCUCAGUGCAAGCCGUCGAGUACGGUGAAACCGCGAAAGGCUCAUUAAAUCAGUUAUGGUUCCUUAGAUUGUACCCACAUUACUUGGAUAACUGUGGUAAUUCUAGAGCUAAUACAUGCCGAUAGAGUUUCGACCAGCCCGCGUGGCGGUUCACGCCGUCUCGCGACGUUCGGAAGGAACGCUCUUAUUAGAUCAAAACCGGCCAAGCGCGGCCGUUCGCGUCUCGCGACGCGUUCGGUCCGCGUAAGUGGCCCGCGCAAAGACUUGACGACUCUGAAUAAUUUCGAGCUGAUCGCACGGUCCUGGUACCGGCGACGUAUCUUUCAAAUGUCUGCCUUAUCAACUGUCGACGGUAGGUUCGAUGCCUACCGUGGUGGUAACGGGUAACGGGGAAUCAGGGUUCGAUUCCGGAGAGGGAGCCUGAGAAACGGCUACCACAUCUAAGGAAGGCAGCAGGCGCGCAAAUUACCCACUCCCAGCUCGGGGAGGUAGUGACGAAAAAUAACGAUACGGGACUCAUCCGAGGCCCCGUAAUCGGA
This 576-nucleotide ribosomal RNA is filed under the name Eriococcus araucariae. RNAcentral's name for it is "SSU rRNA". It matches the Rfam family "Eukaryotic small subunit ribosomal RNA", at positions 21 to 513 of the family's 1831-position model. The record is from RNAcentral. Lineage: Eukaryota; Metazoa; Arthropoda; Insecta; Hemiptera; Eriococcidae.